This is a non-coding RNA of Vicia faba (fava bean), 561 nucleotides long. Lineage: Eukaryota; Viridiplantae; Streptophyta; Magnoliopsida; Fabales; Fabaceae. The record is from the annotation of a GenBank genome assembly.
CAAUUCUCCUCAAUUAUUUUUUCAAAAUCUAUCGUUUUCCAAUCUUCCCCAUUCAUCGACGGUUAUGAUUUCUACAUCCAUAUUCCUCAUUCAAAACGGUUUUUAAAAUAUUUCAAUCUCCAUAUUCCACAAACAAGUGGUUUCUACACGGUUAGAGACAACCUUCCAUUUUCUACCAUAAUCUCAUCCUUUCUCUCCUUCUCUCUCUCUAUCGAUCUAUUUCUUAUUUCUUCGUCAUGUACAUCAUCCUUUUCCCUCUCUCUCUUCUGUCUUCUCUUCUUUAUUUUAUUUUUCUUCCUUCUCCUCGGUUUCGGUUGCAGCAAGAAUAGAGAUUUUGUUAAAGAGAUUAUAUUUGUAUUUUACAGUGAGUCAUGCAACUUGGUUUUGAUUGGGUGUGUACCAUGUGUUGUUGGUGGUGGUGGAGUCAUAUCUAUUCUCAUGGCUAAAAUGUCGACACGUGGACAAGUUACUUAUAUAGAAGCAAGAAAUGUUGUUGAUAAAACCGUCGGAGCCUUCAAAACAGUUAGACACUUGCAUCAAUGUGUAGUUAUAACAGUUUAG